RNAcentral lists this ribosomal RNA (253 nucleotides) under uncultured prokaryote. Its description in RNAcentral is "partial 16S ribosomal RNA". It matches the Rfam family "Bacterial small subunit ribosomal RNA", at positions 525 to 777 of the family's 1533-position model. The record is from RNAcentral.
ACGAAGGGUGCAAGCGUUACUCGGAAUUACUGGGCGUAAAGGGUGCGUAGGUGGUUUUUUAAGUCUGCUGUGAAAUCCCCGGGCUCAACCUGGGAAUGGCAGUGGAUACUGGAAAGCUGGAGUGCGGUAGAGGGUAGUGGAAUUCCCGGUGUAGCAGUGAAAUGCGUAGAGAUGUGGAGGAACACCGAUGGCGAAGGCAGCCCCCUGGGUUAACACUGACGCUCAGGCACGAAAGCGUGGGGAGCAAACAGGA